CUGGGUUUGUUUUUCUUUUCAGGGGGAGGGAUUUUUCCAGAUAAAGGAGCAUUUCCAGGUGAGGCUGCCUGGGAGAACUUUAGUGAGGAUAAACYAGCUCUUUCAGAUGAGGCCGAGUUCCAAAGGAUGACAGGUAAUUCCAAUGGGUCAUAAAGGAAACUAUACGCCUUUUUUGGCACUGCGACGCUCUGGAGCAYGGCACACAGCGAGGAUCCGGUGCGCACGCACAUGCAGCAGCAGAGAUCAAACUGGGGUUCUACAGGGCUUUCCAAAGGGAGCUGGCAGACCGAUCAGGAAUGUGCCAGUCCAGUCCACUCAAAGCCGAAUCAUGACCGAUGGAACGGUCUCAUCCAUCCAACACCAUGCGAUGUCAUGAAAACUCUCCAGCACUGAGGCGCAGUGACUUGUUCUUAAAAUCAGCUAUGAAAUAAACAAAGAUCUACGUUCUACCAAACAUUUAGGCUCAUCUGGUCCUCUCUAAUUAUGUUUUUUUAGCUAGCAACAUGAAGCACAACCACUAAUAGAAGAGUUGAAGACGACCUGCAGAUGGACUUGCCUCAGGGUGAACCUGUCUGAUGUGAUUUUUCCUAAGCAACAGGAAGCCACUGAAGAGAGACCAAAGCAGUCCACUGACCACCUCUACAGACUGCCUGAUUGUCCCGAGGCUUUACACACUAAACUGAAGGAGCCACAGCUGCAGUGAGGAAACUGCAGCUGGAGAAGUCCAAUGCCUUGGCAAGAGAAAGGAGGGCCACGAAAAACAUAUGUUCUGCAACAGGACUGGACACGAUGAUUUGAUUAAUUAAACAAAUCAGUCUUACUCAGA
Molecule: long non-coding RNA, 826 nt
Organism: Austrofundulus limnaeus
Lineage: Eukaryota; Metazoa; Chordata; Actinopteri; Cyprinodontiformes; Rivulidae
Exons: 4
Source: RefSeq, a predicted model, not a curated record